Oryza barthii is the source of this 173-nucleotide non-coding RNA. The record is from Rfam. Lineage: Eukaryota; Viridiplantae; Streptophyta; Magnoliopsida; Poales; Poaceae.
AAUAAGUGCAGUCGUGAGUAUCCAUGUUCAACGUUUGACCAUUUAUCUUAUUUAAAAAAUUUAUUAAAAAAAUUAGUCACAUAUAAAGUACUAGUUUUAUCAUCUAAUAAUAACAAAAAUACUAUAAAAAAAUAUUAUAUAAGAUGAACAGUCAAACGUUAGACAUGAACAGU